AACUCCGGACGCGAGGGACCCAGUACUUUCCUGAAACGAGGCAAGCUACCCAAAGAGUUCUCCGGGCCGACGCAGCCGGGUCAACAGACAUCGGUCAAAUCACUCACAUGAGAUUCAUUCUGCCGCUUUUCGUGCUGUCCGCUUGGGCUCUGGACAGCGUAUACCAUACUCUUCGAUUUUACGACAGAAUUUUACAUAAAAGAGAAGAUCAAAGAUGAAAGAUGGAAGGUGAGAAAAAGCACGUGCUGUCGGUGGGUUUCCUGCUUUUGCAUGUCCGACUAAUUAGCGAACAACGCGACGUCUGCGCCGAAAGUAAUUAGAGCCAGAACUUGUUACCAAUCUGGCUGAGUAAAUCAAAGGCAGGUGGUUCUGGCAGCCAACGAACAGCAGAAGAACAGCAACUCUCAUAAGUAUAUAUCCACCGAAAACUGAAA
This is a long non-coding RNA of Drosophila miranda, 434 nucleotides long. RefSeq lists it as uncharacterized. The transcript has 2 exons. The record is from RefSeq and is a predicted model, not a curated record. NCBI's taxonomy places the organism in Eukaryota, Metazoa, Arthropoda, Insecta, Diptera, Drosophilidae.